GGAUUCUUAGAUUUGCUUCACUGUUGGGAUGUUUUGGAGAGCAUGACUUGGAGGCUCAAUUACGGAUACUGUUAAGAAUGCUACUUCUUAUUGAUCAAACUGUGCACUUGCACUUAAGUUUGCAAGUAACACUUUCCUUGCCAAAAUGAAUUAUAUGAGUGUAACUUCUAUGAAACUACCAUUAUAUCCACUAUCUUCA
RNAcentral lists this long non-coding RNA (199 nucleotides) under Gossypium raimondii (Peruvian cotton). Its description in RNAcentral is "long non-coding RNA (GRAI_LNC004315)". The record is from RNAcentral. Lineage: Eukaryota; Viridiplantae; Streptophyta; Magnoliopsida; Malvales; Malvaceae.